GCGAACGCUGGCGGCAGGCUUAACACAUGCAAGUCGAGCGCCCGUAGCAAUACGGGAGCGGCAGACGGGUGAGUAACACGUGGGAACGUACCCUUUGGUUCGGAACAACACAGGGAAACUUGUGCUAAUACCGGAUAAGCCCUUACGGGGAAAGAUUUAUCGCCGAAGGAUCGGCCCGCGUCUGAUUAGCUAGUUGGUGGGGUAAUGGCCCACCAAGGCGACGAUCAGUAGCUGGUCUGAGAGGAUGAUCAGCCACACUGGGACUGAGACACGGCCCAGACUCCUACGGGAGGCAGCAGUGGGGAAUAUUGGACAAUGGGCGCAAGCCUGAUCCAGCCAUGCCGCGUGGGUGAUGAAGGCCCUAGGGUUGUAAAGCCCUUUCGGCGGGGAAGAUAAUGACGGUACCCGCAGAAGAAGCCCCGGCUAACUUCGU
This 433-nucleotide ribosomal RNA is filed under the name uncultured bacterium. RNAcentral describes it as "bacterial SSU rRNA". It matches the Rfam family "Bacterial small subunit ribosomal RNA", at positions 29 to 506 of the family's 1533-position model. The record is from RNAcentral.